RNAcentral lists this ribosomal RNA (467 nucleotides) under uncultured bacterium. RNAcentral's name for it is "SSU rRNA". It matches the Rfam family "Bacterial small subunit ribosomal RNA", at positions 26 to 518 of the family's 1533-position model. The record is from RNAcentral.
AGCCUGAACGCUGGCGGCGUGGCUAAGACAUGCAAGUCGUACGGGCGUAGCAAUACGCCAGUGGCGAACGGGUGAGUAAUGUAUCGCUAACGUGCCCCCGAGUCAGGGAUAGCCGCCCGAAAGGGCGGGUAAUACCUGAUGAGACCCCGACCGGGCAUCCGGUCGUGCUCAAAGCAGCAAUGCGCUCAGGGAGCGGGCGAUAUCGUAUCAGCUAGUUGGUGGGGUAACGGCCCACCAAGGCGACGACGCGUAGCCGGACUGAGAGGUUGGCCGGCCACAUUGGGACUGAGACACUGCCCAGACUCCUACGGGGGGCUGCAGUAACGAAUCUUCCGCAAUGCACGAAAGUGUGACGGAGCGACGCCGCGUGUGGGACGAAGUCCUUCGGGAUGUAAACCACUGUCAGGGGUUACCAAGUUCUGAGGAGCCCCAGAGGAAGGCACGGCUAACUCUGUGCCAGCAGCCGC